Hippocampus zosterae (dwarf seahorse) is the source of this 2610-nucleotide long non-coding RNA. RefSeq lists it as uncharacterized. NCBI's taxonomy places the organism in Eukaryota, Metazoa, Chordata, Actinopteri, Syngnathiformes, Syngnathidae. The transcript has 2 exons. The record is from RefSeq and is a predicted model, not a curated record.
UAAGUCUCGCUUUGUCUUGUUGCGAUAUCUUUGAGCGAAAAGAAAUCACAGUACACCCUUGCUGUUCACAGACUGAGCAGAAAAAAAUACAUUUGGAUGAUUGAUAAUAUACGGGUGCAGAGUUGCAAUGCCACACCCAGUUGAAGUUUAUGGUCAAACUAAACAUAAAACAAAGGGAAUUACACCUUGUGCUAUUAAAAACAGCCCCAUAUCUUAGCUUUUCAGACCGAUAGUUUCAUGCGGACAGUAUUAGCAUUGACACUUGCAUCAGUCCUUUCACCCUUUAUGCUGCGGUCAGACUGAACUCGAGCUGUUUCUGACGCAGCAUUUCCAUAUAUAGUCCAUGCAGUUUUCAUGGUCAGGCACCAAUGCAUGCCCGUCGGCACAGAUGAAGCACUUGAAGUGAAUUUAUUUAUUUAUUUAUUUUGCCUCUUCGCCUAUUUUGCUGGGGUUUGCAUUUUCUGCAUCGCAUACAGCCAAUCUGCGUAGAUAAUGUACUUAAGUUGACCGGGCAAGUAAUUGGUUGAGCUCUAAAUAUUAGUGCUGGAUCGACGAGCCUAGAGAGGAGACGUUUCAAUGAAGCGUUAUUAUGAAUCCUACAGUUCUACGCAGGUUGUGCUCCGCUGCAAUCUGAUUGGCUGCUGCAUCCAGGCAAGACUGUUUUGAAGUGGAAUUCAUAGUAACAUCUCAUUUGUCUUUUACUGCCACCAGGUGGCCAAGGCAUGCACACUUGAAAGAGGAGCACUUUCAACUGAUGCAGUGUGACAAAAACAGUUUAAUUCUUAAUAAUGAUGUAAUUACUCUGUUUUUAUGAAGUGCAAUAUUAUGGAGUGCUGUUUUACUUUCAAAUACACCUGAAUUAUUCUGUGAGUAAUUGAUGCUAAAAGGUAAUUGCCUGUAGAUGAUACAAGAUGGCAGGCCAAAGCACUUUUUUUGUAUUGAAGAAAGGAUGUGGCCUGACGAAAUGACGAAAUGGCAUAAGAUAGUGCCAAAGCAAUUUUUUUAGAUUAAACAUGGCUUUGGCUUGAGCACAAGAACUAUACUCUAGGCAAGUUUUUCAUCAAAAGCCUUAAGACAAUUAUUUAGUGAAAGUUGAAUUUGUGAAAAUGUGGUGUUUCAAUGUAAACGGUCUCAUUUAAUCUGAUCAAGUGGUUAAAAAAAACCAAAAUCAUGUACUUCGUAUAUAUGUCAGUGAACAUCUGCUGCAUUUGUUUUGUGCUCAGUUUGCUAGCAGCACAUAAACUCUGCAGUUUGGCAGAUGAUUCUCUAAUCCAACCAUUUAUGAAUUGAUGGUCACAAUCUAAAGGGAGAUUAGUGCAUUCAUUUGAAAUUGCCAGCUUUCUAUUCAAUUGUCAUUUUUACCGUGGGUCAAACCAGUGCUGAAAGUAGUAGCUGUCAGAUACGAAAAAGUAUCCCUUUGCCCCAAAAAAUAAAAUAUAAAAAUCAAAGUAAUAUAAGAACAGGCGGACCGUAUUAUGAGGAAGAAAAGGUUCUAAUUUUAUGAGAAUAAAGUUGCAAUAUUAGGAGAGAAGAAAACAUUUCAAGAGGGGGGGGACUUACAACAAAAUCUUUGACAAAAAGUAAUCGCUGAAUAUUAUGAGGGAAUUUUUUUUAUAUUCUAGCCUUUAUUGGUCUUUUUCAAUGGAAAAAAAUUCACCUUCAAUAUUACAACUAGAUGUGCUCUAACGGUUUACUCUUGGAAUGGAAAAGCUAACACUAUAGAUUCAAAUGUAAAGCAAUGGACAAUUCAUAUAAAUCCAAAUUAUGUAACAGUAGCUUUUAUUUAUUAUAUUUUAUGCUUUUAUUUCUUGUCAAGAUAGUACAUCAUAUUUUAUGUCGGAUUUUUAACCUGAGUUGUUGGUUAAAGUUGUUGAAAUGGUGUAAGUUUUUGCGACCAAUUCCUGUGCAAGUAUUCGCUCCUCAGUAGAUGCAACUACCGAUAUUAAGUACCAAUUCUACUAGUAUUUUGAUACCUAAAAUUUCAAUUAACAUUAUGACAAAUAAUUGCGAAGAAAGACCUUUCUUUCUUUCUGAUGAAUAUGAUGUGUUGCCGAUGCUUGUGUCAUAUCACCAUUUACUGGUGAGGUGGACUAAUGGUUAUUUUUGCCUCUGUUGUGAAAGUGCUAUUUAAAUCAACAUGGAUUGUAUUGUAUCGUAUUAAGUGUCUGUGUUUGGUAUCGGCAGCCUCCAUAAUACCCGAUACCUUGAAAUUCGGCUUGUAUUGGCUCUAUACCAGUUAUCGUACUCGCCCAUCCCUAGAGUAAAGAAUGCUAAUUGUUUUAACCUUAACGUGAUUGUUAAAGUGCAGGCUGCCAUUGUUAGUACUAAUACUCCAUAACUUAGUGUUUCCGAAUGCCAUAUAAAGUUGUACUUCACAUCUUUGCUUUUCCUUAUCCACAUUUCGCAGUAAUGAAUAAAUAAGCAAUGGAGUGGGUGCUACAAAGAAUCUCAUUGUAUACAGUAGAUUCUAAAGUAUAUUCUGGAACUGCCCUUUGAGUUGAAAGAGCAUCUCAAGCCGGAAUGGAUUUGCAAGUGUUUCUGUUUGUUUCAUCAACCUCUGUUUACGUAAUCGCUAUUAAGUACAGUUUGCGUUCAUGUUGUUGGUUUUUU